AUUGAACGCUGGCGGCAGGCCUAACACAUGCAAGUCGAGCGGAUGAAGGGAGCUUGCUCCUGGAUUCAGCGGCGGACGGGUGAGUAAUGCCUAGGAAUCUGCCUGGUAGUGGGGGAUAACGUCCGGAAACGGGCGCUAAUACCGCAUACGUCCUGAGGGAGAAAGUAGGGGAUCUUCGGACCUCACGCUAUCAGAUGAGCCUAGGUCGGAUUAGCUAGUUGGUGGGGUAAAGGCUUACCAAGGCGACGAUCCGUAACUGGUCUGAGAGGAUGAUCAGUCACACUGGAACUGAGACACGGUCCAGACUCCUACGGGAGGCAGCAGUGGGGAAUAUUGGACAAUGGGCGAAAGCCUGAUCCAGCCAUGCCGCGUGUGUGAAGAAGGUCUUCGGAUUGUAAAGCACUUUAAGUUGGGAGGAAGGGCAGUAAGUUAAUACCUUGCUGUUUUGACGUUACCAACAGAAUAAGCACCGGCUAACUUCGUG
RNAcentral lists this ribosomal RNA (484 nucleotides) under uncultured bacterium. RNAcentral's name for it is "partial 16S ribosomal RNA". It matches the Rfam family "Bacterial small subunit ribosomal RNA", at positions 30 to 507 of the family's 1533-position model. The record is from RNAcentral.